CCCCUAGAUGUUCUGGGCCACACGCGCGCUACACUGAACAGUUCAACAAGUCUUAACCUUGGCCGAUAGGUCUGGGUAAUCUUUGAACGCUGUUCGUGAUUGGGAUAGACCUUUGCAAUUAUGGGUCUUCAACGAGGAAUUCCUAGUAAACGCAAGUCAUCAGCUUGCAUUGAUUACGUCCCUGCCCUUUGUACACACCGCCCGUCGCACCUACCGAUUGAAUGGUCCGGUGAAAUCUCGGGACGGCGGCUUGGUCGCUUGCGUCCGACUGCUGAAACUUGAUUAAACCAUAUCAUUUAGAGGAAGGUGAAGUCGUAACA
This 320-nucleotide ribosomal RNA is filed under the name uncultured eukaryote. RNAcentral describes it as "partial 18S ribosomal RNA". It matches the Rfam family "Eukaryotic small subunit ribosomal RNA", at positions 1470 to 1796 of the family's 1831-position model. The record is from RNAcentral.